UACGUAGGGUGCAAGCGUUGUCCGGAAUUAUUGGGCGUAAAGAGCUCGUAGGCGGUUUGUCGCGUCUGCUGUGAAAACUCGGGGCUUAACUCCGGGCCUGCAGUGGGUACGGGCAGACUAGAGUGCGGUAGGGGAGAUUGGAAUUCCUGGUGUAGCGGUGGAAUGCGCAGAUAUCAGGAGGAACACCAAUGGCGAAGGCAUAUUUCUGGGCCGUAACUGACGCUGAGGAGCGAAAGCGUGGGGAGCGAACAGG
Molecule: ribosomal RNA, 253 nt
Filed under: uncultured bacterium
Lineage: Bacteria
Description: partial 16S ribosomal RNA
Rfam family: Bacterial small subunit ribosomal RNA
Source: RNAcentral